AGUCAUUCCCUGAAAUUGACCGUCGACGACGACGACGACGCCGACGACCGCCGCCGCCCUCCGGUGAUCCUCGCCGGCGCCGCAUUCUCCGGUACGUCUCCUGCCUCCGCGUCGACGCCCGCGGGAGCCACAUUUCUCGAGCUCGCAGUGUCCGCCGGUGGCUCCGGUCGGCGUCUUUCCGGCGCGAGGCACUGCCCUCGAGGUCUCGACCAUUGCUCGCCGGGUUUCUUCGAGUGGAAGCUCGUCGCGAAGAUUCGGCGUCGGGGAUUUGGGAUACUGUAGCGACUCGCCUCCGGUUUCGAUGGCGUUUCCGCCGUCCUGGUUCGAUUGGAGUUCGAGAGGAGAAGGGGAUGGGAGGACGAAAGAGGGCGGCCAAGCAUUACCCGCCGGAUUUCGACCCUAAGAAGCUGCCUAGGGUUCGGAGGUCCGAGGAUCAGCAGGCGAAGGUCCGGACGAUGCUUCCGAUGAGCAUCCGGUGCGGCACCUGCGGGAACUACAUCUCCAAGGGCACCAAGUUCAAUUCCAGGAAGGAGGACGUAUAUGGGGAUCCGGAUAGUUAGGUUUUACUUCAAAUGCGCCAAGUGUUCUGAGGUUUUGCGUUUUGGGAAGAAUUGAACGUGACUUGUGCUUCUUCAUUUGGGGGGUUUAGGCUGGUGGUGGAGAGUGAGAAAUGUAAGAGGGAGGCUGAAGCGAUGGGCGAUGGGCGAUGCAAUUAAGUCAGAGAUUGAGUCUAAUAUGUAGUUACAUGGGUAAACUGCAAACAUUUAUUGGGGUUGGCUUUUCAUUUGUAUGUAUUAACCUGUCAUAUUUCAUGAUAUAUUCCAGCCACUGUGACAUGCUAGAUGCUUGGCUAGUUUCAUCCAAUAGAAAAAAACGAAAGAGGAGUAAAUCUUAUUGUUCUUUCGGGUCACAGUGGACUGUGUACUGCAUGCCUUCUGGUUUUGUGUGUCUCUUGAAUUUCAGAUUAUAUGGAAAGUCAGAGAUACCAAUUAUCUGCCUGCUAGUUUGCAGGAAAAGAAUUUUAAACUAAGAGAUUCAUUCAUUCGAUAGCAACAAUGGAGCCUUAUCCUACUAUGUGCAGUUGAUUCUUCAUCACUUCAUUUGGAAAGGAAAUUGGAGGAAGAGGAUGAAGCACUUACGAAAUCAAUAGUAUUCAAUACAACCAAAGAUUUUUGUCCAUAGGAUCGAAGAUGAAGAUUCAGAGGAUGAGGACUAUCUGACUCAACCUUCUUCUAGUAACAACGAAUCAUUGAACACUCUCAAGAAGAUGAAAUUUUCCGAGGAACUUCUGGACAAGCCAGUGGAUUCCUUGACAAAAGCUACUUCCAGUGACAUCUCGAAUGACAGAGGCGUUGCACGUUUUUUGAACAUGUUUUAAUUACGUUAGCUCUUCUGAAUGACGGAUGCGUUGAGAGAGGCUGGGCACUUACCUUUUCCUGCGAGCGCAUUGGAUUGUAAUAAAAUGAAGACUCCCUUCAUGGAAGUAGACUGGACUUGCAUAAAGUAACUUUUUUCCAUGCGGUGGUGGUUGUUUGUGCAAGUUUUCUGGUUACAUGAGGAUCUAUAUGGGAUAGAAAUAAUUAUUGCUGGGUUGUGACAAACUCAUGUCUCUGUUCCUUGUUCAUUGAUUCAUAUUUUGUUUAACCGGAAA
Long non-coding RNA from Eucalyptus grandis, 1651 nucleotides. RefSeq lists it as uncharacterized. The record is from RefSeq and is a predicted model, not a curated record. Lineage: Eukaryota; Viridiplantae; Streptophyta; Magnoliopsida; Myrtales; Myrtaceae. The transcript is spliced from 4 exons.